UACGUAGGUGGCAAGCGUUAUCCGGAUUUACUGGGUGUAAAGGGCGUGUAGGCGGGAUGUCAAGUCAGGUGUGAAAUUCCAGGGCUCAACCCUGGACGUGCACUUGAAACUGAUGUUCUUGAGUGAUGGAGAGGCAAGCGGAAUUCCGUGUGUAGCGGUGAAAUGCGUAGAUAUACGGAGGAACACCAGUGGCGAAGGCGGUUUGCUGGACAUUAACUGACGCUAAGGCGCGAAAGCGCGGGGAGCAAACAGGAUUAGAUACCCU
This 265-nucleotide ribosomal RNA is filed under the name uncultured prokaryote. RNAcentral's name for it is "partial 16S ribosomal RNA". It matches the Rfam family "Bacterial small subunit ribosomal RNA", at positions 524 to 788 of the family's 1533-position model. The record is from RNAcentral.